This 24-nucleotide non-coding RNA is filed under the name Arabidopsis thaliana (thale cress). Lineage: Eukaryota; Viridiplantae; Streptophyta; Magnoliopsida; Brassicales; Brassicaceae. The record is from RNAcentral.
GAUGAUCUCUGCACAUGUAACCGA